Long non-coding RNA from Pseudophryne corroboree (corroboree frog), 3541 nucleotides. RefSeq lists it as uncharacterized. The transcript is spliced from 3 exons. The record is from RefSeq and is a predicted model, not a curated record. NCBI's taxonomy places the organism in Eukaryota, Metazoa, Chordata, Amphibia, Anura, Myobatrachidae.
GACGGAGCGGUAUACUGAGCGGUGACAGGGGGAGUUUUGGCUGUCACUCAGAGCCCAUGAGAAGACGGGGCGAGGACAAGAGAUGGUAGAAGAUCAUGCGGUCAUAAAAUGGAGAAUUGAGCAGCCUACCCAUAAAAUGGGCUGCCCAGCAGAAAUAUACAUAUUGCAGGUCAUUAAUUACCCUGAGUUUAAGUCACCCAAAUACUGUGAAAAAGUGGACAUAAGAGUUCAACAAAAAAUUAUAAGUUUGCACAGAUCGGGUGUUAGAAAAAUUAAUGAGAUGGUGUGUCGCAUAGAAGCUUUUGUCGAUCAAGAACUCCUUCCAGCUGAUGAUCCCAUAAAGUUAUGGUGAAAAUUUAAUCCCACAAGAAAAGACAUAUUGAAUCUCAUUAAUAAAGCUAGAUCUGAAUCUAAAAAUUAAAAAUUAGACCAGGAAAAUCCUUUGCACCUUUUACACCAGUGGCAAGUAGAAAAACUAGAGUUUAAGAUUUUUUGUCGACCAAAUACAACUGAAUAGCAAGAAAUACCCAAGCAAAAUUUUCUCUUUUGUUACCAAACUGAAUGGCAACAAAAAUUGCCCAUCGGGUAUGGAAAUCACCUAACCUUGCUAGAUGCCACAUAUAGAAUAACAAGAUAUGCUCUUCCACUUUUUUCGUGUCCAGACAAAUGUUUGCUAUGUGAUUGUUGAUUGUGAGCAUUUGUUGUUCAACAAGAAACUGCAUGCAUGCAGGAGGCAUUACAUAUUUUCCAAAAAUGGAACGUUAACUGGAAACCAAAAUGUUUUUUGGUAGACUUUUACCAAGAAGAGAUGAAUGCAAUAUCAAACUUAUUCCAAGGUAAUUAUAUUUUUUUUUCCCAGUGCUAAACUUAAAAGUAAUUAAUAUGAUGGAAUAUACAGUGGGGCAAAAAAGUAUUUGGACAGCCACCGAUUGUGCAAGUUGACCCACUUAAAACGAUGAGAGGUCUGUAAUUUCCAUCAUAGGUACACUUCACUGUGGCAGACAAAAUCUAAAAAAAAACAAAAAAACACAGAAAAUCACAUUGUAUGAGUUUUAAACAAUUUACUUGUAUAUUCUUGUGGGAAAUAUUUGGACACCUACCAAGCAGCAAGAUUUCUAGCUCUCGCAGACCUGUUACUUCUUCUUUAAGAAGCUCUUCUAUCCUCCACUCGCUACCUGUAUUAAUGGCACCUGUCUGAACUGGUUAUCUGUAUAAAAGACACCUGUCCACACCCUCAAACAGACUGCUACCUUUCCACCUUGGCCAAAACCAGAGAGCUGUCUAAGGACACCAGGGACAAAAUUGUAGAGCUGCACAAGGCUGGGAUGAGCUACUCGACAAUAGGCAAGCAGCUUGGUGAGAAGGUAUCAACUGUUGGCACAAUUAUAAAAAAAUGGAAGAAAUACAAGAUCACUGACAAUCUCCCUCGACCUGGGGCUCCAUGCAAGAUCUCACCUCGUGGGGUAUCAGUGAUCUUGAGAAUGGUGAGGAAACAGCCCAGAACUACAGAGGGGGACCUGGUCAAUGACCUCGAGAGAGCUGGGACCAGAGUCACAAAGGUUACCGUUAGUAACACACUACGUUGUCAUGGAUUGAAAUCUUGCAGCACCCAAAAGGUCCCCCUGCUUAAGCCAGCCCAUGUCCAGGCCCAUCUAAAGUUUGCCAGUGGCCAUCUGGAUGAUCCUGGGAGAAUGUAAUGUGGUCAGAUGAGAGCAAGAUCGAACUUUUUGGUAUAAACGCCACUCACCGUGUUUGGAGGGAGAAUGAUGGAUGGCAUCCCAAGAACACCAUACCCACUGUGAAGCAUGGGGGUAGAAACAUCAUGCUUGGGGCUGCUUUUCUGCAAAGGGGACAGGAUGACUGAUCCGUAUUAAGGAGAGGAUGAAUGGGGCCAUCUAUCGUGAGAUUUUGGGCAAAAACCUCCUUCUCUCAGUAAGAGCACUGAAGAUGGAACGAGGCUGGGUCUUCCAGCAUGACAAUGACCCCAAACACACCACCCAGGCAACUAAGGAGUUGCUCUGUAAGAAGCAUUUCAAGGUCCUGGAGUGGCCUAGCCAGUCUCCAUACCUCAACCGAAUAGAAAAUCUGUGGAGGGAGUUGAAAGUCCGUGUUGUCCAGCGACAGCCCCAAAAAAAGACAGAUCUAGAGAAGAUCUGCAUGGAAGAGUGCUACAGUGCAAACCUGGGCAAGAACUACAGGAAACAUUUGACCUCUGUAAUUGCCAACUGAGGUUAUAUUAAAAGUAUUGAGUUAAACUUUGAUUGUCCAAAUAUACAAAUAAAUUGUUUAAAAAUCAUACAAUGUGAUUUCCUAGUUUUUUUCCACAGGUUGGCCAGGCUUGACCUAGGAAAACGUUAACUAAGUUGCCUUGCAUUUACAUUUCAAGGUGAAAACUCUCUUUUUCACUCUUUUUUUUCUCAUUUUCUCUCUCUCUCAUCAUAGGCUAGAUGGGUACUAUUGCCCAUGCCAUAUUGAUUUUACCAUAGCUCGAUAUUUUUGUGUAGGAUCUUUGGGUGCACUCUCUUUCUCUUUUUCACUCUUUUUUUUCUCAUUUUCUCUCUCUUUUUUCUCGUUCUCUCUCUCUCAUCAUGGGCUAGGUGGGUACUAUUGCCCAUGCCAUAUUGAUAUUUUACCGUAGCUCGAUUUAUAUUUUUGUGUAGGAUCUUUGGGAGCAUUAUUCUCUUGAAAAAUUACAUCAUUUAGUCAGUACUUUAGGGUGAAAAUAGUCUACAAGCAAUGCUGCAUAUAUGUUAUCAGUCAGUCAUAUCAUGUUCAAGCAAACACAACACAUGUCAAUUUAAAAAAUACAACACCUUUAUGGAAUCACCACCAGCCAGCACUGUCUAUGGGGUCUGGCCCACCAACCAAACCUACCAUCAGCCUGAUACAUCUGGAAGUGUUCCUCAUUGAGACAAGCUAAGUGUAGCCAGUGCUCUAUGUUCAAAAUUAGCAAACUCCCAAGCCCUGGUUAAGUACUGUUUCUGGUUUAAUCUUGUUAAAAAGGGCUGCCUGGAUGGUAUUCUGCUCACAUACUCUAUGGAAGCUUAAUACACUUGAACUAACCUGCUGCAUUCGUAACUGCUACGUCUUGCUUUUAAUUUGUAUUAUAUUUUAGACAUUGUGGAUUGUCUGUUACAACAUUGCCAUAUUUAAAAUAAGGGCUCUAUUCAUAUUAAAAUGAAUGUGAUCUUUCAAACUAUUUUUUGUAUUACAUAUGUGUCAUGUAUAGAAAUGCUGAACAGACAUUAUUGUAAACUGAAGCCAUCUGAUUUACUUCAGUAAAUGGACUCUGCGAUCCUAUGAAGCAACGCAAAGACAGAUAUAUUGGGAGUCUUUUAAUGAAGCAGUGUAAAUACCUUUUAUAACUAAUAAUAACUUUUCACAUAUUUGUCCCAUUCACACAUAGGGUUAAUGUGGAAAAUUGCAUAUUUACAUAGCGUAGUUCCAGAUCUCUCAAGAUCACCAACCCAUACAGCAGUAUUGGGAGAGUGAAUCAUAGAAGCACAUAAAGCUCAGCUUUACAUUUUUCUUCCAAAAAAAU